CGUUAGGUUCGCGUCGAUGGUUCCUGACAUGCCUAGCAACGUCAGGUGAAAAGGGAAUACGGUGAGGACUACCCAUCAGGGGCCGAGACCGUGACUGCCCCCGCAACUGUGAGCGGCGAGCAACCUCCUAAUACCACUGGCAAUCCGUUUUCGGGGCGCUGGGAAGGUGGAGGACGCGACGACCCGCAAGUCAGGAGACCUGCCAUCAUAAUUGAAACCGA
RNAcentral lists this non-coding RNA (221 nucleotides) under Rhizobium sp. Lineage: Bacteria; Pseudomonadati; Pseudomonadota; Alphaproteobacteria; Hyphomicrobiales; Rhizobiaceae. RNAcentral also lists the same sequence under 1 other name. The record is from RNAcentral.